Non-coding RNA from Mycena rebaudengoi, 90 nucleotides. The record is from the annotation of a GenBank genome assembly. Lineage: Eukaryota; Fungi; Basidiomycota; Agaricomycetes; Agaricales; Mycenaceae.
GGUCCAGUGGCAAAGUGGUAUGUGUCUGCUUCUUGUUGAUAAAGCGAACAGAUCUUAUAGAUCAUGUUGGUUCGACUCCAGCCUGGGCUC